UGAUUUCAUUGGUCAAGUCUGAGUCUGUGAUACCGUGGUUUGACCAAUCAGGAAGCGCCGUCAGUGUCAGGCCAUGCCGCCAGUCCGCGCGUGGGACAGGGACGCAGCUGUGCGCAUCCAGGUGAGGCUGUUACCUGACGGGCAGUAGAAUAAGAACUGACGCGUCUGUGAUCCUCAAACCCGAACGUUAACCGGAGAAACCGAAACCUACAAGAACUAAUUCUAGUCUUAAAGACCCGCUCCAAUAAAAACGGUGUUUUUGGUGUUUUUAAUGGGUUUUUGGGACAUUUUCCUUAUAAUAUGAAUCUUCUGUUUUUAAAGCGCCUCUCAAGGAACUCAUGGACACUGAACAAAAAAAGUCAGUCGGUUCAAAAAUAUUAAUUAAAAACAAUAAAUAACAACUGACAAAGAAUCUAAAGCGAAUCAGAAUGAAAACUAUGGCGUUUCAUAUCUGCCAUAAAGUGAAAGGCCGUAAAGACAACUGAGCAAACGAGUUUUGAGUUCAGAUUUGAACGUUUAUAAAGAGUCUAUGAUACAGAGGUCUUGGCUUCCUGUGGUAAUGAGUCGGGCCGGAGGAACAGAGAGGUGGACAGAAGAGAACGAGAGGGGGAUUUAAUAUGGAGUAGGUGGGAAUGAUGAGGAGGAGCCAGGUUAUGGAGGGCCUUAAAGGUGAACAGCAGGAGUUUGAAUUUGAUUCUGGAGGUAAUGGGAAGCCAGUGCAGCUGGUGGAGAACCGGGGUGAUAUGACUGAAGGAGGAGGUUCUGGAGAUGCUGCUGAGUUCUGGACCAGUUGAAGCUCAUUGAGGGUCUUUUGAGGGAGACCAAAGAGGAGGGAAUUCCAAUAAUCUAAGCAGGAAGUGACCAGACUGUGGAACAGACAGAAGGAGAGUGGGCGGUGAGGGAGGGGCAUAGGCGAUUAAUGUAAGUAAAAAUGGGCAGACCGAGCAAUGUUAUUGAUAUGAGACAGAAAAGAUAAUGAACUAUCCAGGAUGACACCCAGACUCUUCACCUGCGGGGAGGGAGACAGAAGAUGAGUCACUGGAAAGAGUGAAACUUGUAGCUUUGAGAGGGUGGAUUUUGAACCGACAAAAAGUUGUAGUUCGGUUUUACCACUAUUGAGUUUCAGAGAGUUUAAGGUGAACCAGUUUUUGAUUUCAGAUGGACAGGAGGGGAUGGAGGAAGGUGGAAGAGAGGAGUCAGGUUUGCUAGAUACAUAGAGCUGGGUGUCAUCUGCAAAACAAUGAAACUUUAUUUUAAAUUUACGGAAAAUCUUGCCAAGGGUUACAGGACUUAAAAAAGAAGAGGACCAACGACAGAACCUUGGGGCACACCAGAAGAAGGCUGAGGUUUCAAUUAUUUAAAUUGAAUGAAUUGGGUCCUGAGAGACUGGAUUGGAAGCAACAGAGGGGGGUGGAGGGGAUGCAGAUGGAGGAGGAAGGUGUGAGAAAUGGUAUCAAAGGCCGCACUCAGAUCGAAGAGGAUGGGAAUGGUGAGGAGGCCAGUGAUCUUCAGCAGGGCAGUUUCAGUGCUGUGGGAGGGGCAAAAACCAGUCUGCAAAGGUUCCAGGAGAUUAUUUUGUUUAAAGGGAUCCUAAAGUUGGGAGGCAACUAUUUUUCUAGGAUUUUAGAAAUCAGGAGAAGGUUAGAAAUUGGACGGAGAUUACUAAAUAAAUUGGGAACUGAACCGGGUUUUUCAGGAUAUGUUCAACAGCUGACGUUCUAAAACGUUAUAGGACAAUACCAGAUGGUAGUGAGGAGUGAAUAAUGGCGGAAAUAAGCAGAAGGAGAUGAGGAGACAGGCUAAGGGAGGGGAUCAAGAUAACAGGUGGAGGGUUUGGAUUUUAAGAUGAGGGAGGAAAUUUCAUUGUGAUCAGUUAUAAUAGACAUUUAUAAAUUAUCAAUAUUAAUAAAAAAAACUACAAUCACCAGGCCAAAGUCUCCCUGCUCUAUUCUGAUGCAUCCACUGUCAGACAAAUAGAUCCAUGAACGUCUUUGUUUUCUUCCUUCGAGCUGGAAUCUGUAUAUAAACUGUACGGCUGGAUUGCUCUGAUAUUGCCGCCAUUUUUGUUGCAGCGCUAACAUUAGGCUGGAGUUGUGAGCAUUGACUGGACAGUAUAAAACUGGACAAUCAAGCGUGACACCAUCCAAAAAAAAAAAAAAAAACUUGAUUCCAGCUUUAACGAAUCAAAGUCGAUGCAGUCGCCAUUUGUCUGCGAUAUGUUGGAACCAGAUGUCCUCAGUAAGCCGUGAUUGGUCCAUCUACAUUUCUAUGGCAACCACUCUCUCCAAUCAGGAAUGAUCGUGUUAGAAGGCCACGCCUCUUCUACUGAAAGUGACCAAGGAAGAAUCUGCCAAUCAAAUACUUCCAAUGUGAAAGGCCACCUACUUAUAUUGAGGCAUCUGAUUGGUCACUUUUUAACUUUUAUAAUUUGUACUACAGCAAAAAUAGGAAAAAAUAAGGAUUAUCGAGAAGAUGGUUAAAAAAAAGGCACCAAAUCAAGAAUAUUUCUUCUGACCAAUAUUUCUCUAUAGAAGUCUACAGGAUUUCUGCCUUUUGGGAUCAGCGGGUGCUUCCUGUUUGGAAGACAACAGUCCAAUUGUCCUUCACUGUCAAUGGUUGUGAGGGGCUGUAAGCUAGUGGGAGAGAGUGCAAACAGAUGGAUGAUGGGAAAUGAACACAGAUUCACUCUGCGCCAGCAGUCCCACCCACAACUCAGAGGUGAAUUUCUGCUGAAGUCCUGCUGCUCUGCAGAAACUAUGUCCUAGAACAGCACAGGCUAAAAACAGCCUCUGUUAGUGACAUUAAAGGCUUUUCUAUUCUAACUUAUUUUUGAUUGUAGUGGACGCAGCUCCAUAUCAACAAGAACCAAAAUGAAGGGCUCUAUACAAUCCUUCAGUCCCUCUUUUCUCUGGACUUCCCUGAGCAGCCUCCCAUCUGAAAACUGCUCCACAUUCACAGCCUUUCAGACCAGAAUGAGAAUGCCAGGAAUAGACGGCCGCUCCAUCAGCGUGAAUUUAUUCCUGAUGAUAAACCAAUCGAUGACAUCUGUGUGGAGGUUCAAAGUGUCUGACAAAUGCAGGCAGAAAUGUCGGCGCUUGUGUCUAGUUUGUCCAUAAAUGCUCAGAGAAAUUGCUUUGACAAACAUCCCUGCUCUCUCCUCUCCCUCCUCCACACACACACACACACACACACACACACCCACACUAAAGUGGUACCCUCCGAACACAUUAGACACAGAGAGGGUGGGGCGCCACUAAAGAUUUCUUAAUGGGCUCUGCUGUCCUCUUGUCCAUCUUCCUUGAUGGUAAACACGCAGCUUCUCCACUCUGGCCUGAAGGACGCUAAAGCCUUCCUUCUUUUUCCCCAACAAAGCAUCCCUUCUCAGACUUUUGGACGGGACCUCAAGGACUGGCAUCAGGACUCGAGGAUUAGGGGAAUUCGAUCAGGAAUGUGAUUGGAAACGAUGGGAAGCAAACCAAAUUUCUGCGAGGAAUUACUGGUUGUGGGAUCUGAUCAUUAGUGUGACUUUUGGUCUGUAUGGGGAGCGAUUUCUAUGUUAGUGUCUACAGGAGAGUGGCACCAUCCAGCUGUGUACAGCAGUAACAUCUGAGAGUGCUGGAGGAGGAUGCCUUCCCUGCAUCAUGGAGCAAUCUUCAUCGGAUCCUUCCUCAUCGCGACCGGGGGCUCCACAGCCUUCAUGGUCUCCCAGCAGAACCGGCUGCAGGCUUUUUCCCUCUGCUGUGUGGUUCUGGGGGUCCUCAUGCUCAUCCUCGGGUUAUUUUGGGCCAUGAACAACAAAAAUGCAGCAAACUACAACCAUCAGGAGUUUGAUCCAGAGUGUCCUCAUUACCCGUAUAACGGCCAGGCCCUCUUCUCCCCCCCAGGAAACCGGUUUCCAGAGUCCCAGUCUGUGUUUCUGCCCAGGACAAUGGAGCAGCACAGGAGAGGUGGAGAGGAUUUUGAUUAUCCCCCCAUGGACUCUGCUGGUUUUAGUCCAACGCCCCACCCUGCUCUGUGGAUGGGACCUCCACCUCCCUAUGAAGUUGCCAUUAAGACCACAUGCAGCUCUACACACCUGCGGCGGGCAUACUCAGACACACACCUGGCAACAGAACCCUUGUUCGGACAAUCCAGAGAAAUCAGCUUUGAGGUGUGACUGAAUGAAGAUGGCUUCUCACCGUUUCUGUGCACCGGGUCAGAUGACAGAGGGGCAGCAGUCUGCACAGUAGUUUUAUUCUUCACAUUGGGCAUGUUCAUGUCUCUGUUCUUGCAUGCUUUCCUGAAAAUUCCGUCCAGGUGUUCAUCGCUAAGGCAAACAUUGACAAUAAUGCCUGGUCCUGUCUGAGAAAAACGAGGAUUUCAGCCGACAGGCAGCUUAUAAAAAAUCAGGAACAAGUUAAAGUGAUAGAGACGUCAAAACACUGCUGGUCUCUAACGUUGCAAACAUGCAGCUGCACUUUGCCUGGUAGGUUGCACUGAAAAUGUAAAGUUGUCACAUCACAUCCUCACAUCAUGAGCCUCUUUUGUAAACCUCUGAUCCAGGAAAUCUUGAGAGAACUUGGAGCAUGCUCAGUGAGGUCAGUGAGCUGCAUUUGAAGGCUUUCAGGUACCUGUCAGGUAAAUCUCUACACCCUUGUGUACAUUCAUCUUUGGGGAAAACCAUACAAAUAUAUGAGCUGGCAGGCUUCAAGUAAAAGUAAAGUUACUACUAAAUACUACUCACGGGAAAGAAGCAAAUGUCCUGAUUACUCCAAAGAGACUAAACAAAUGUAAAAAAUCCCCAACCCAGACCAAAAUAAAAGUUGUUUGAAAUGUAUGACUAAAAAUCCAAAUGUUGACUUUCAAAUGGAUCAAUGCCGUCAGGAAUCAGGCAGAUAAGAAUACAAGGCCCAAUUCUGGGAUUUCUAAAUACAAUGAUGAGAUAACUUAUCAAAGGGCCAGCUUUUAAGCGUAUUAUAAUGUUUAUUCCUCACUGUAAACAAUCCCAAAAACGGUAUUUUGAUCCAUUUAUGCAUUUCUGAGGAAGAGUCUGCGCUGCAAGCCCCGCCCCCUGGCCAACACAAACACCCACUUUCUCCAUGGAGCUAGCGGUGAUCGGCUAAACGUUUUCAUUUUACAUGCACAAUAUGCACAUUUAUCUUUGCAAAAGUUCAGAUGUUUGUUUUUGUGGGCGAAAUCCAGACACACUACCGAGGCUGACUCUAGGAUGACAUCACGAAAUAGGCGGCACCCAAAGGGAGCGAUAGGCGGAGCCUCAUAGAUCGAGUCGUCUUACUUCCAGGUUGGAAAAAAGCUCAGGAUAAUAACAACUCAUAUUUCAUUAAAAAAACUAAUUUUUUGUGUUCCAAAGGUAAUAUAUUAUCAUGUAUAUGAAUAUAGUUUACUAUAAAAGGCUUAAGAAAAGCAUAAUAGGGGGCCUUGGAAAAUAACUACUGUAGUCUUUUUAUUCAGCAAUCGGUUCAUUUCUGUUUCAAAUGUUACAUGAAAGAAAUAAAAGAUGUAGCCAAUGAGUAGUAGAGGUUUUUCUAUCAAAAAUCUACUGGAGGGAAAACUACUCUCAGGAGUCUCAUUUUGACAAUAAUGUACUUAAAAGAAUGUAACCGAGUACACGUGACCGUUUGCUGCUCAACUCUGGAUAAACGGAGGCAUUAACGAAUGACCAGUUUAGUUUUUUAAAGUGCUUCAUUCCGGAAGCUCACUGCACAGGACUGAAGCAAUAUUUCAGAUUUUCCGCCUUAGAAAACGGGAGGAUGCGGUCAUUCUAACCGUUAAUUCCAUGAACGUUUAGGGCGGAGCUAAGUACUGUGAUACAUUUUGGAUGAGUCAACAGGACCAAAACAAAGAUUGGAGGUCUUUGCCUUCCCAGAAGACUAGUAGGCAGCAGCUUCACUUCAGUACCUCUGAUUUGAGGUGCUGGAGCUCCGUGAAACCUGCGGAGCCUGAAAUGAUGUCAACACCACCACCCCCACCACCCCUCCCCUGAAUAGACUUCACUUCACAGACUUGCUGAGUUUUAACCUGCGUUGUUCCCUGAUUUUUGCUGUUUCCCCGGGGAAUGAUAGAAUUUAAACAAAUGGGUUCAAAGGAAGAGGAGGGUGUGUCAUGUGAUCAGCUUCCACCACUGAGGGAGCAGCUGCUGAAGUCAAACCGUGACUCUGCAGGGAUCAACAUUAAUCUCCUCAGGAGCCUUUCAUCUCUCUGAGCCCGUUCAAGACCGAUGCAGUCGUUUUGGGUCAUUAUUGGUGUGUUGAAGGAACAUGUCCAUGUCUUCAGGACGUUUGCAGGCUCAUGUUAUUCCGCACCUACUUUGAAUUUUCACAGCAGAAGCACAACUGACUCAAAGAUGAAUCACGAGAACCAAAGGUCUUUGCAUUAUACCUACAUACGCAUGCAUGUGUGACUGGCAGCUUUAUUAAUGGCAAAGUGGAUGUACAGGACGUUGACGAGUGUACUGAACUUUGUAUAAUAAAUGGAAGCUGCAGGA
Oryzias latipes (Japanese medaka) is the source of this 6484-nucleotide non-coding RNA. Lineage: Eukaryota; Metazoa; Chordata; Actinopteri; Beloniformes; Adrianichthyidae. The record is from RefSeq and is a predicted model, not a curated record.